Molecule: long non-coding RNA, 362 nt
Organism: Clupea harengus (Atlantic herring)
Lineage: Eukaryota; Metazoa; Chordata; Actinopteri; Clupeiformes; Clupeidae
Source: Ensembl
GGGAUACUGCUGGGGGCAGCCAUUUUGAACACAAGCGUGGGAUACUGCUGGGGGCAGCCAUUUUGAACACAAGCAUGGGAUACUGCUGGGGGCAGCCAUUGAACACUGGAUUAAGGUGCCUAUGCCAACCUCUGCCCACUGAAUAAAGGUGCCCAUGCCAACCUGUGCCCACUGGAUAAAGGUGGGAGGUUGACGAGCUGAUGGAGACAGCGUGAUGCUCUGGUCCGUGUUCCGCUGGGUGUUCCGUGUUCCGCUGGGUGUUCCGUGUUCCGCUGGGUGUUCCGUGUUCCGCUGGGUGUUCCGUGUUCCGCUGGGAAACCCGGGGUCCAGCCUUGUGGGAGUCAAAUGACACCAACCUCACC